This 621-nucleotide ribosomal RNA is filed under the name Triticum aestivum (bread wheat). RNAcentral describes it as "partial small subunit ribosomal RNA". Lineage: Eukaryota; Viridiplantae; Streptophyta; Magnoliopsida; Poales; Poaceae. The record is from RNAcentral.
AUGGGUGGCAGAAGAAGUAAAAAAGUGGGUCCAAAGGAAUUGCAGAAGAACAUCAAAGAUAAGUUCAAGAUAGAUUUACCAUACAUGAGGUUGUUCAAUGGUAAACAACAUGCUAUGGAUUCUAUUUAUGGGAGGUUUAAAGGACAGUUAGUAGCAGCUUGUGCAGUUGAUGCACACAGUUUUGUAUUUCCAGUUGCCUACGAUGUGCUGGAGACAGAGUCUGAGAAGAGCUGGACUUGGUUUUUGCAUAAUCUGCGCCGGACUAUUGCACAUCCCAAUGGGUUGGUCAUUCAUACAGAUGCCUGCAAAGGUUUAGAAGUGGCCGUGGACAAUGUGUUCUCUGGAGUAGAGCAUAGGGAAUGCAUGCGUCACCUUCCUGCAAAUUUCAUGAAGAAAUUCAAAGGAAAGGUGUAUACCGACAAUUUAUGGCCAGCAUCUUUGACUUGCAGUGUGAAGAAGCACAACUACCACUUGAGGCAGUUAUACAUGAAUCCCAAAGUGAAAGAAUACUUGAAAACACACCACUCCAAGUUAUGGGCCAGAAGCCAAUUCAGUGAACUGAGCAAAGUUGACUAUGUGCACAAUAAUCUAGCAGAGUCUUUCAACUCAACGAUCCGGAAA